RNAcentral lists this ribosomal RNA (449 nucleotides) under uncultured bacterium. RNAcentral describes it as "partial 16S ribosomal RNA". It matches the Rfam family "Bacterial small subunit ribosomal RNA", at positions 29 to 523 of the family's 1533-position model. The record is from RNAcentral.
AGCGAACGCUGGCGGCAGGCUUAACACAUGCAAGUCGAACGCAUCCUUCGGGGUGAGUGGCAGACGGGUGAGUAACGCGUGGGAACAUGCCCUUUGGUUCGGAAUAACUCAGGGAAACUUGAGCUAAUACCGGAUAAGCCCUUUUGGGGAAAGAUUUAUCGCCGAAGGAUUGGCCCGCGUCCGAUUAGCUAGUUGGUGAGGUAAUGGCUCACCAAGGCGACGAUCGGUAGCUGGUCUGAGAGGAUGAUCAGCCACACUGGGACUGAGACACGGCCCAGACUCCUACGGGAGGCAGCAGUGGGGAAUAUUGGACAAUGGGGGCAACCUUGAUCCAGCCAUGCCGCGUGAGUGAUGAAGGCCCUAGGGUUGUAAAGCUCUUUCGGCGGGGACGAUAAUGACGGUACCCGCAGAAGAAGCCCCGGCUAACUUCGUGCCAGCCGCCGCAGUAA